Molecule: ribosomal RNA, 747 nt
Filed under: Terrabacter sp. Pia1s7
Lineage: Bacteria; Bacillati; Actinomycetota; Actinomycetes; Micrococcales; Intrasporangiaceae
Description: bacterial SSU rRNA
Rfam family: Bacterial small subunit ribosomal RNA
Source: RNAcentral
AAUGCGCAGAUAUCAGGAGGAACACCGAUGGCGAAGGCAGGUCUCUGGGCCACUACUGACGCUGAGAAGCGAAAGCAUGGGGAGCGAACAGGAUUAGAUACCCUGGUAGUCCAUGCCGUAAACGUUGGGAACUAGGUGUGGGUCUCAUUCCACGAGAUCCGUGCCGCAGCUAACGCAUUAAGUUCCCCGCCUGGGGAGUACGGCCGCAAGGCUAAAACUCAAAGGAAUUGACGGGGGCCCGCACAAGCGGCGGAGCAUGCGGAUUAAUUCGAUGCAACGCGAAGAACCUUACCAAGGCUUGACAUACACCGGACGCAUCCAGAGAUGGGUGUUUCUUCGGACUGGUGUACAGGUGGUGCAUGGUUGUCGUCAGCUCGUGUCGUGAGAUGUUGGGUUAAGUCCCGCAACGAGCGCAACCCUCGUUCUAUGUUGCCAGCACGUGAUGGUGGGGACUCAUAGGAGACUGCCGGGGUCAACUCGGAGGAAGGUGGGGAUGACGUCAAAUCAUCAUGCCCCUUAUGUCUUGGGCUUCACGCAUGCUACAAUGGCCGGUACAAAGGGCUGCGAAACCGCGAGGUGGAGCGAAUCCCAAAAAACCGGUCUCAGUUCGGAUUGGGGUCUGCAACUCGACCCCAUGAAGUCGGAGUCGCUAGUAAUCGCAGAUCAGCAACGCUGCGGUGAAUACGUUCCCGGGCCUUGUACACACCGCCCGUCAAGUCACGAAAGUCGGUAACACCCGAAGCCGGU